RNAcentral lists this ribosomal RNA (465 nucleotides) under uncultured bacterium. Its description in RNAcentral is "partial 16S ribosomal RNA". It matches the Rfam family "Bacterial small subunit ribosomal RNA", at positions 338 to 795 of the family's 1533-position model. The record is from RNAcentral.
CCUACGGGAGGCAGCAGUGGGGAAUAUUGCGCAAUGGGCGAAAGCCUGACGCAGCGACGCCGCGUGAGGGAUGAAGGUCUUCGGAUCGUAAACCACUGUCAGCAGGGAAGAACGGUCACUGUGCUAAUCAGUAGUGAAUUGACGGUACCUGCAAAGGAAGCACCGGCUAACUCCGUGCCAGCAGCCGCGGUAAUACGGAGGGUGCGAGCGUUAAUCGGAAUUACUGGGCGUAAAGCGCUCGUAGGCGGUAUGUCAAGUCAAGGGUGAAAUCCCCGCGCUCAACGUGGGAACUGCCUUUGAAACUGGCCAGCUAGAGUGUGUGAGAGGAGAGUAGAAUUCCAGGUGUAGGGGUGAAAUCCGUAGAUAUGUGGAGGAACAUCAGUGGCGAAGGCGACUAUCUGGCAAAAGACUGACGCUGAGGAGCGAAAGCGUGGGUAGCAAACAGGAUUAGAUACCCUUGUAGUC